GAGAAGUAGCUGUAAAGCUCAGGAGGGAUAGCGCCAUGACACACCGAUGCUAUAUUAUUGGCGCUAUCCAUCCUGAGUUCCAUGGCUUCUUCUU
RNAcentral lists this microRNA precursor (94 nucleotides) under Eutrema salsugineum. Its description in RNAcentral is "MIR390 microRNA precursor family". It matches the Rfam family "MIR390 microRNA precursor family". The record is from Rfam by way of RNAcentral. Lineage: Eukaryota; Viridiplantae; Streptophyta; Magnoliopsida; Brassicales; Brassicaceae.